AUGAUUUUUUUCAUAUUCCAUGUUUAUUGCUGUUUAUAUAUUUUUUUGGUAGCCCGAGUGUUCCCUAGGAAAUUAUGCAAGCCAACAUACAUUACCAGACUUUCUUUCAAGCGUUGGAACAAAACUGUGAAGAAGUUUAGUAAUAUUCAGUUGGGCCAUGUGAGAAAGUACAAAUUGGAACCUCUCCUUCAUAUGCCAGUGAAACUUAAAAUACUAAUGAAUUUGCUUGAAUGGAUAGAUCGGCAUAUGUUUGGAAGUAAAGAGCCAUGUUUAAAGCAUAAGAAUAAAACUAUCAAGAUUACUAAAGAUAUGGUCAACAAAAUCUUUGAUUUUCCUGGUGGCACCGAGCCUUUUGUAUUCAGUAGCGAUGAUCCCCAAGUGAAGGCAGAGGUUACACAGUUAAGGAACAAAUAUGUGGAUUAUCGGAACAAAAUGCCAAUCAACAAAAUAGAGGAGGUGAUGCUUAGUGACGAGACAAAAGAUGGAUUUAUCAGGAGCUUUGCAUUUUAUUUCCUAUCAUCUAUUCUAUGCCCUGCCUCAUACUGUUUUGGUAACAUGAAGUUCUUAUACUCUCUAAGAGAUGUUUCUGCUAUACCUUCACUUGACUUUGGGCAAUUGGCACUGAUUUCUUGCGUGAGGAGUCAGAGCAUCAUUUUGAAAUGA
This 663-nucleotide ribosomal RNA is filed under the name Triticum aestivum (bread wheat). RNAcentral's name for it is "partial small subunit ribosomal RNA". The record is from RNAcentral. Lineage: Eukaryota; Viridiplantae; Streptophyta; Magnoliopsida; Poales; Poaceae.